Vicugna pacos (alpaca) is the source of this 260-nucleotide non-coding RNA. Lineage: Eukaryota; Metazoa; Chordata; Mammalia; Artiodactyla; Camelidae. The record is from RefSeq and is a predicted model, not a curated record.
GUUUUAUAAUGUGCCAAAUGGAUGAGACCUGUUACUGGGGUCCUACAGCAGAGGCUUUACGCUGUACUCACGGGCAAACAGGCGCUAAGCAGAAUUAGCUGGAAGUUGAAGGGGUGGACUUGAGUUUUUGACAUGUCUGGAACUUUUUUGCUACCGGGUAUAUGAUUUUAUCUGGAUGGCUUGCUUGGGGUGCAGAUUUCAGAGAGCUUUUGUAUAAAGGUGUGAAGAGAUGGGUUGCUACAAGACAUGGAAGAAGGAGU